GGGGAAAAAGCUCAGUGGCAGAGCGUGUGCUUAACAUGCAUGAGGUCCUGGGUUUAAUCCCCAGUAUCUCCA
Molecule: transfer RNA, 72 nt
Filed under: Camelus bactrianus (Bactrian camel)
Lineage: Eukaryota; Metazoa; Chordata; Mammalia; Artiodactyla; Camelidae
Also listed under: 2 other names
Rfam family: tRNA
About the family: Transfer RNA (tRNA) molecules are approximately 80 nucleotides in length. Their secondary structure includes four short double-helical elements and three loops (D, anti-codon, and T loops). Further hydrogen bonds mediate the characteristic L-shaped molecular structure. tRNAs have two regions of fundamental functional importance: the anti-codon, which is responsible for specific mRNA codon recognition, and the 3' end, to which the tRNAs corresponding amino acid is attached (by aminoacyl-tRNA synthetases). tRNAs cope with the degeneracy of the genetic code in two manners: having more than one tRNA (with a specific anti-codon) for a particular amino acid; and 'wobble' base-pairing, i.e. permitting non-standard base-pairing at the 3rd anti-codon position.
Source: Rfam by way of RNAcentral